Molecule: non-coding RNA, 645 nt
Organism: Labrus bergylta (ballan wrasse)
Lineage: Eukaryota; Metazoa; Chordata; Actinopteri; Labriformes; Labridae
Source: RefSeq, a predicted model, not a curated record
UGCAACAAAAAUGUUUUUUGGCCGACCUCCCACCUGAUUACAUUCUCAGUGAUGACGACCAAUCGUCAAGUUCAUCUGAUCUAUCCCUCCACAGUGAUCGGUCAAAAGGACAAAUAAUUAAUUUUAGAAAAUCUGAAAAAAGCAACCCAGUCCUGGAUCAAAUGUGGCAACGUCUGCAGAAACAGAGGGAACGUCUUCGAGUCCGAGAACAAAGUUUUUUGGCCGACCUCCCACCUCAUCAUGUGUCUCUUGUUGCAGGGAUCAAAAAAGGCAGCGCCUGCAGCAACUGAGGGAACGUCUUUGAGUCCGAGAACAAAGUUUUUUGGCUGACCUCCCACCUCAUCAGGAUCAAACAUGGUCCUUCUCCCACCUGAUUGGAUGGUGGAGAUGAAGGAGAAAGAGGAGGAUGAAGAGGAAGAGGAUGAAGAGGAGACCAAAUCAGUGAUCUAAAAGUCUGCACUUUGUGUCUGGACUUUGGGCUGACUGGUUGUUUGAAAACCAUGUUGAGUAUAAUGAUCUGUAGCUCUUUUUGUGACAGCUUGAUUUGGAUACUUAUGGAUAAAACAAAUGUAAAUGAUAAGAUUUGUUAGUGACAUAAGAUGAUGAAGUCAACUCAGCCUUAAAAACAACUGUUGUUUUCUAUUA